UAACCACACAAGACUUACUCUAAAGGGUAAAACUGUCACUAAUUUACUAAUUUAUUUUCUUAAUUUUCUAGGCAACAACAGCUUGUGGUCUGGAUGGCAAAUGAAUUAAUUAAUUAAUUAAAAAAAAAAGAAAAAAAAAAAGAGGGAUGUGGAAGACAUAACUGUGACUUAAUCAAAUCUGAUUCUAAAAGGACCCAAGUUUCUCCAGAAAAGCUAGGCAUUCAGCAAAUGGCUCAACUUCCAUUUUGAAUAGCAGGCAGUGAUGGCAGAGUUCAGCAGCUCCAUGCCAGCAAUGUAGACUAUGCAUCCUAGUAAGCAUUCUAAGCAAGAAAAUGAAAUGAAAGAACAUUCCACUGGGAGAAAAACAAACAAACAAAAAGAUUUACUGCAUGAUCUCUCAUUCAUGACACUGGAUUUAUAACUGUGCAGGUUCUAAAGGCAUGUAGUAAGAAGAAAUACUGCUUUAGUAAGAAGAUGUGUCUUCUCAGAGAAGAGAGCAACUGAAACAGCAAAUCAUUUCCCUCCUGAAGAAUGAGACACAAGAAGAAGAUUGUUUGGAAGUGACAUUUUUUCUCAGCCAACACACAGCACAUGUCUGUUUUAACUCUGUCUUAAAAAUUAUGUAUAACAUACAUGUAUAUUACUGGUAGGAAUAAAAAAUAAAUAACUUAAAGGUGUUUCA
RNAcentral lists this long non-coding RNA (682 nucleotides) under Anas platyrhynchos platyrhynchos (common mallard). RNAcentral describes it as "lncRNA (ENSAPLG00000017583.1)". The record is from RNAcentral. Lineage: Eukaryota; Metazoa; Chordata; Aves; Anseriformes; Anatidae.